Molecule: ribosomal RNA, 1439 nt
Filed under: uncultured organism
Description: 16S ribosomal RNA
Rfam family: Bacterial small subunit ribosomal RNA
Source: RNAcentral
GGAUGAACGCUAGCUACAGGCUUAACACAUGCAAGUCGAGGGGCAGCAUGGUCUUAGCUUGCUAAGGCCGAUGGCGACCGGCGCACGGGUGAGUAACACGUAUCCAACCUGCCGUCUACUCUUGGACAGCCUUCUGAAAGGAAGAUUAAUACAAGAUGGCAUCAUGAGUCCGCAUGUUCACAUGAUUAAAGGUAUUCCGGUAGACGAUGGGGAUGCGUUCCAUUAGAUAGUAGGCGGGGUAACGGCCCACCUAGUCUUCGAUGGAUAGGGGUUCUGAGAGGAAGGUCCCCCACAUUGGAACUGAGACACGGUCCAAACUCCUACGGGAGGCAGCAGUGAGGAAUAUUGGUCAAUGGGCGAGAGCCUGAACCAGCCAAGUAGCGUGAAGGAUGACUGCCCUAUGGGUUGUAAACUUCUUUUAUAAAGGAAUAAAGUCGGGUAUGGAUACCCGUUUGCAUGUACUUUAUGAAUAAGGAUCGGCUAACUCCGUGCCAGCAGCCGCGGUAAUACGGAGGAUCCGAGCGUUAUCCGGAUUUAUUGGGUUUAAAGGGAGCGUAGAUGGAUGUUUAAGUCAGUUGUGAAAGUUUGCGGCUCAACCGUAAAAUUGCAGUUGAUACUGGAUAUCUUGAGUGCAGUUGAGGCAGGCGGAAUUCGUGGUGUAGCGGUGAAAUGCUUAGAUAUCACGAAGAACUCCGAUUGCGAAGGCAGCCUGCUAAGCUGCAACUGACAUUGAGGCUCGAAAGUGUGGGUAUCAAACAGGAUUAGAUACCCUGGUAGUCCACACGGUAAACGAUGAAUACUCGCUGUUUGCGAUAUACUGCAAGCGGCCAAGCGAAAGCGUUAAGUAUUCCACCUGGGGAGUACGCCGGCAACGGUGAAACUCAAAGGAAUUGACGGGGGCCCGCACAAGCGGAGGAACAUGUGGUUUAAUUCGAUGAUACGCGAGGAACCUUACCCGGGCUUAAAUUGCAGAUGAAUUACGGUGAAAGCCGUAAGCCGCAAGGCAUCUGUGAAGGUGCUACAUGGUUGUCGUCAGCCCGUGCCGUGAGGUGUCGGCUUAAGUGCCAUAACGAGCGCAACCCUUGUUGUCAGUUACUAACAGGUUCCGCUGAGGACUCUGACAAGACUGCCAUCGUAAGAUGUGAGGAAGGUGGGGAUGACGUCAAAUCAGCACGGCCCUUACGUCCGGGGCUACACACGUGUUACAAUGGGGGGUACAGAGGGCCGCUACCACGCGAGUGGAUGCCAAUCCCCAAAACCUCUCUCAGUUCGGACUGGAGUCUGCAACCCGACUCCACGAAGCUGGAUUCGCUAGUAAUCGCGCAUCAGCCACGGCGCGGUGAAUACGUUCCCGGGCCUUGUACACACCGCCCGUCAAGCCAUGGGAGCCGGGGGUACCUGAAGUGCGUAACCGCGAGGAGCGCCCUAGGGUAAAACUG